UACAUGUGGGGCAAGCGUUGUUCGGAAUUACUGGGCAUAAAGGGUGCGUAGGCGGCUUGUUAAGUCAGGGGUGAAAGUUUUCGGCCCAACCGGAAAAUUGUCUUUGAUACUGGCGAGCUGGAGUGCGUGAGGGGUGACCGGAACGAGUGGUGUAGCGGUGAAAUGCGUAGAUAUCACUCGGAAGGCCAACGGCGAAGGCAGGUCACUGGUGCGCAACUGACGCUGAGGCACGAAAGCGUGGGGAGCAAACAGG
Molecule: ribosomal RNA, 253 nt
Filed under: uncultured bacterium
Lineage: Bacteria
Description: partial 16S ribosomal RNA
Rfam family: Bacterial small subunit ribosomal RNA
Source: RNAcentral